AUAAGUAAAGAUUUUAAGGGCGUACGGUGGAUGCCUUGGCGAUAUCAGCCGAAGAAGGACGCGGUAAGCUGCGAUAAGCUACGGAGAGGUGCAAGCAACCUGUGACCCGUAGAUUUCCGAAU
This 122-nucleotide ribosomal RNA is filed under the name Veillonella parvula. RNAcentral describes it as "partial 23S ribosomal RNA". It matches the Rfam family "Bacterial large subunit ribosomal RNA", at positions 1 to 119 of the family's 2925-position model. The record is from RNAcentral. Lineage: Bacteria; Bacillati; Bacillota; Negativicutes; Veillonellales; Veillonellaceae.